Molecule: ribosomal RNA, 213 nt
Filed under: uncultured bacterium
Lineage: Bacteria
Description: partial 16S ribosomal RNA
Rfam family: Bacterial small subunit ribosomal RNA
Source: RNAcentral
CAGUUCAGAUUGUAGGCUGCAACUCGCCUACCAUGAAGUCGGAAUUGCUAGUAAUCGCGGAUCAGCAUGCCGCGGUGAAUACGUUCCCGGGCCUUGUACACACCGCCCGUCACACCAUGAGAGCCGGUAACACCCGAAGUCAGUAGCCUAACCGCAAGGGGGGCGCUGCCGAAGGUGGGAUUGGUAAUUGGGGUGAAGUCGUAACAAGGUACC